Molecule: ribosomal RNA, 437 nt
Filed under: uncultured Oscillospiraceae bacterium
Lineage: Bacteria; Bacillati; Bacillota; Clostridia; Eubacteriales; Oscillospiraceae
Description: bacterial SSU rRNA
Rfam family: Bacterial small subunit ribosomal RNA
Source: RNAcentral
ACGGGAGGCAGCAGUGGGGAAUAUUGCACAAUGGGCGCAAGCCUGAUGCAGCAACGCCGCGUGAGGGAAGACGGUCUUCGGAUUGUAAACCUUUGUCUUUGGUGAAGAAGAAAGUGACGGUAGCCAAGGAGGAAGCAACGGCUAACUACGUGCCAGCAGCCGCGGUAAUACGUAGGUUGCAAGCGUUGUCCGGAUUUACUGGGUGUAAAGGGCGUGUAGGCGGAGCUGCAAGUCAGAUGUGAAAUCCCGGGGCUCAACCCCGGAACUGCAUUUGAAACUGUAGCCCUUGAGUAUCGGAGAGGCAAGCGGAAUUCCUAGUGUAGCGGUGAAAUGCGUAGAUAUUAGGAGGAACACCAGUGGCGAAGGCGGCUUGCUGGACGACAACUGACGCUGAGGCGCGAAAGCGUGGGGAGCAAACAGGAUUAGAUACCCUGGUA